GACGAACGCUGGCGGCGUGCCUAAUACAUGCAAGUUGAGCGCUGAAGGUUGGUACUUGUACCAACUGGAUGAGCAGCGAACGGGUGAGUAACGCGUGGGGAAUCUGCCUUUGAGCGGGGGACAACAUUUGGAAACGAAUGCUAAUACCGCAUAAAAACUUUAAACACAAGUUUUAAGUUUGAAAGAUGCAAUUGCAUCACUCAAAGAUGAUCCCGCGUUGUAUUAGCUAGUUGGUGAGGUAAAGGCUCACCAAGGCGAUGAUACAUAGCCGACCUGAGAGGGUGAUCGGCCACAUUGGGACUGAGGCACGGCCCAAACUCCUACGGGAGGCAGCAGUAGGGAAUCUUCGGCAAUGGACGAAAGUCUGACCGAGCAACGCCGCGUGAGUGAAGAAGGUUUUCGGAUCGUAAAACUCUGUUGGUAGAGAAGAACGUUGGUGAGAGUGGAAAGCUCAUCAAGUGACGGUAACUACUCAGAAAGGGACGGCUAACUACGUG
RNAcentral lists this ribosomal RNA (497 nucleotides) under uncultured bacterium. RNAcentral describes it as "partial 16S ribosomal RNA". It matches the Rfam family "Bacterial small subunit ribosomal RNA", at positions 28 to 507 of the family's 1533-position model. The record is from RNAcentral.